This is a long non-coding RNA of Gossypium raimondii (Peruvian cotton), 1874 nucleotides long. RefSeq lists it as uncharacterized. The transcript has 2 exons. The record is from RefSeq and is a predicted model, not a curated record. NCBI's taxonomy places the organism in Eukaryota, Viridiplantae, Streptophyta, Magnoliopsida, Malvales, Malvaceae.
AUUACAUACUUGUUCUUUAGAAAAUAUGUUAAUUACUAAAAAUUGAUUUGUUAUUUACUGUAAUUUAAUUCUAAAAAUUAUGAUAUAAAAUUCUGAAAAGAAGAGUUGCUUUUGGGCCAUAGUAAGCAUUAGGUAUCUUCCCAAAUCUUUUCAAAACAUCUUAGGUUUUGUCCACCCUUCUCCCAUUUUCUUUUUUAAUUUCAGUAAAUUAGGAGUAAAAUAUUAUGAAGUGUAGGUAGUAGUUCAAAAAGAUUAUUCGCCUAAAUAGCAGCUAAAAAUUUGAAAACCCUACCUAUUUAAACCAUUUUUCUAAUUAGCCUAAGAUUUUCAAUUCUCUGUCUUUUCAUCAAAAUUUUGUUCCAUUGCUGGAAAUUAUUAUUGAUUACCCCAAAUGAAAAUCUAUUCCCGAUUUUAACUUGUUUUCCAAUCGGAUUCGUGAUCACUCUUCGAUCGUUGCCAAGAACAGGACCCGAUUUAGGUACCUCAAAUUAGAUUAGAACAUGAGGAACGUUGCUUGAGACCCCGACGACAGGUGUGUCUUCUUUUACAAGAAAAUCGGGACAAAUCGUGCUUGAAAUAGGGCCAUACGGCCAACCACACUUGUGGACCACAUAGCCCCUCACACGGCAUUGUCCCCCUAAAACCCUAGGUUUUUCGAAUCGCACAUGACCUAAGACCCUCCACACGGUCAUAGUCUGUCAUAUAGCCUAGCCACACGAUCGUGUACCCCCUCCACAAGGUCUAAGACAUUUCACAUGGUCAUGUGUCCCCCGUAUCUCAGAUUUUACAGUUUUGGCCCAAAAUUUUAUGUUAUGUUUAGUUUAUUCCCUAAUUUUUUUCCUGAACUGUUUUAGUAUAUUAUAUUAUUCAAUUAAGUCACCAAUAAUGUGAAAUAUGUUAGAAUCCAUAAAUUGGCUAACCAUAUUAAUAUGACGUUUAUAUACAUUUGCAUGAAUUGUGAACAAUACGUAUGACUAUUGUUUCGGUGUUGGUGAUUGUAUGUAUAGUAUGCUUUAUGAAACUGUUAAACCGAUCACAUAAAAAGCAUGAUAUGUUCGAACAUGCCAUAUUGUAUUGCAUGGGGUUGGAUGUUAUAAACGACGGAAGUAUUGGCAAUUUAUCUGCAUUUAUUUUGUUGUGUACUCACAACCAUAUGUAGAUUCCAUCUGCGACGGUCUUGUUGUGUAUCCACAGCCAAAGGCAGAUUCCAUCUGCGGUAUUUUGUUGUGUGUCCAUAGCCAUUGACGGUAAAACUGCAAACUAUUGGUGGUUAACCCACAACCUAGUGUGCUGGCAAUUGGAGUUCUAAGGAGCUCCUAUUGUAGUGUGUAGCGGUGGGGUAAGAUCGUUUCUAUUAAAAAUUGAUAUUGUAUGGCAUCUAUGAAAGUAUGUGCAUACAAACCUAGAAUUUCUAGUAGGAUAUAUUUAUAUCUACAUAUAUGAAUGAGUAAUUUGUGAAAUCAAUAUUUUGAUAUUGCUAUUGUGAAUUCUUGAUACUAAUGGUGGCUAAAUUAAGAAUUGAUAUUUCAAGCUGCUAUUAAAUUACGAUUAUUUUAUGCAUUAUUAAUUAAUAUGCCUUAUCGACUAUUGCACUGAUCUUCUUGUGAUUGAACUCACACUAAGCGUCAUAGCUCACCCUCCUUAAAUUUUCAUCCUUACAGAUAACUCAUUAGGUUAGGACGUGGACACGACAUCCAGAGGGUCUCAGCUCGGCUUUGUUAAAAUAUCUUUAGAUACAUUAUUUGAUAUUUUAUUAUUCAAAGUUUGUAUUAUUAUUUUAAUUCAAACUGUGGCAUAAGACUUAGGAUUUGGGUUGCUAUUAUUUUACAUGACACCUAAUUUAAAAUUUUAAGAUAUCUUGUUAUGAUUAUUAA